RNAcentral lists this small RNA (405 nucleotides) under Pediococcus argentinicus. RNAcentral's name for it is "cspA thermoregulator". It matches the Rfam family "cspA thermoregulator". The record is from Rfam by way of RNAcentral. Lineage: Bacteria; Bacillati; Bacillota; Bacilli; Lactobacillales; Lactobacillaceae.
CUAUCUUUUUAAAAAGAUCCAUGCUAUAAUUAAUUUUGUAAAUUUGGUUACGUGUUUUUGGUUAGAUUGUUUCAUUUGAACUAUCCCCAAUGAACCGGAUCAAGCUACAAACUAAACAAAUGCCUUAUAAGGCAUACAGGAGGAUGUUCACAAUGGAACAAGGUACAGUUAAAUGGUUUAACGCUGAUAAAGGUUUUGGUUUUAUUACUCGCGAAGAUGGUAGUGACGUAUUCGUUCACUUCUCAGCUAUCCAAGGCGACGGCUUCAAGACUCUUGAAGAAGGCCAAUCAGUUUCUUUCGAUGUUGAAGAAAGCGACCGUGGACCACAAGCAGUUAACGUAAACAAAGCAUAAUUAAAUCUUAAUUAUAAUUUUGAAACGAAAUACUUCGGUAUUUCGUUUUUUU